This is a long non-coding RNA of Thunnus maccoyii (southern bluefin tuna), 442 nucleotides long. RefSeq lists it as uncharacterized. Lineage: Eukaryota; Metazoa; Chordata; Actinopteri; Scombriformes; Scombridae. The record is from RefSeq and is a predicted model, not a curated record. The transcript is spliced from 3 exons.
CAUGACUUGAUCUAACAGGAACAAACAGCCAACUGAAGGUUCCUACAAAGCCAAAGCAUAAUGACUUUGAUCUUCCCACUGAUUCUCAGCCUUUUUUUGAAGGGCAGCAGCUGCCAGCUUCGAUGUGUCAAAGAAAUUCUUGAUGACAAAGAGUUUUCAAUCAACAUGACUGGACAUAUUACAUUGCAGUCUGAUGAGUGCACCCGGAUCCCAUUCGAAUUGACCUUUCCAAAAAACAAAGUUACAACCCCAUAUAAAAAGAUUUGGUUUCAACAAGAUCCACAGGUGAAUGUAAAUAUAGAAGUUGUCAACAAUAUGGAAUCUGAGUCAAAAAACAGACUCAGAAUCAAUGGUCUACCACGUGGAGAGUAUGAGUAUGGCUUCAAAUUGGAAUGGGGCUGUAAUCAGACAUAUAUUUUUCCAAAAAGGCUUCGGAUCUCAG